Danio rerio (zebrafish) is the source of this 396-nucleotide non-coding RNA. The record is from Ensembl. NCBI's taxonomy places the organism in Eukaryota, Metazoa, Chordata, Actinopteri, Cypriniformes, Danionidae.
GCAGAGAGCGUUGUCAUGGAAACGGAGCAACGACACGACACCUGACCGUCAACAGCACUUCUCUCAUGCGGCAGUUUUCACUAAUUUCAGGAGUGACAAAAUUACCCCUACAACAGAAGAGAAGAGCCAAUAUGAAGGGAGCUAAUCACUGAGCUGGAGGAAACACAGAUUUUGGAUCGUCCUCUACUCACUCUACCACUUUGUUUUUCCUUGCCAGACUUCAUUCAAGAAGCCUGCUACAAGAGAGACAGCGGAAGGAACCUCAAAGACAUUUUUAUUAGGAUCUGCUAAUCAUGAGGGGGCAGACAAAAGAACCUGCAUUUUCCUUCAGCUUAAUAUCAGGGGUCGCCACAGCGUAAGGAACUGGAUAUUACUUUGGCAUAUGUUUUACACAGC